Long non-coding RNA from Peromyscus californicus insignis, 1943 nucleotides. RefSeq lists it as uncharacterized. The transcript has 3 exons. The record is from RefSeq and is a predicted model, not a curated record. NCBI's taxonomy places the organism in Eukaryota, Metazoa, Chordata, Mammalia, Rodentia, Cricetidae.
CUCAGCCUUAACGCAAGUCCGCAGUCUUCAAGUGUGAGAGAAGCUAGUGUUUCAAAUCUCCAGGCUCCUGGGUGCGGCGCGUACACUUUGUGAAGAGUGAUAGUCUGCAAGCACGCCCUGAAGGUGUAUCAGUGAUUGGCAUGUCUAGGUGGCUAGCUCAGUGCUUGUUUUUACUUCUUUCUCUCACGCUGUUUGAUCUGCAAAAGUUCUCCAGAACCCCGAGAGCCCGCAGUGGCCUGUGGCUCCAGAAUCCGAAGACCACCUAUCUACAUUGAUCAGCACCCUAAUCCCAGGUGGAGAAAGGGUACCUCGUGCGUGUACAAGGCUGGGAAACAGAACUUCAGGCGCCGUGGGGAUCACCUCCCGGGCCGCGUCUGGCCGGCGGUAAGCCGCCAGAGCUAUAAGGGUUGGAGGAGACUCGGGAGAAGGAGCUUGUUUGCACCGCAGUUCAGCGGGAUGUGGAUGCAGCAGGAGCGCCCAGAAGCUGUUGGGGGGGAACUUUGAUUUACUUCCCACUCCUAUCCCACCCCCUUAGGCAGGCUGGAUAGGGCCCUACGUCCUGGCAAGAGUGGAAUUCUGUUCCUCUAGGCCUGUUUGCAGAGGUUGUGUGGGCCACCGCGUUUCGCCGGUUAAUUCUGACAAAGCUGGACGUCCACUUAGUGACCUCCGGCCUGCGCCCACCUCCAGCGGCCAUGGUCUUUAGCCAGCCGGAGCUCCAUGUUUCUCUGGCCGAGGUUUAUAGGAGCCUUCAACACCUCCAUCCAGCUCCUUGUGCCGCUAGAGAAAUGCCUGCAAACGCCGUGCUAGGAAGCCGCGGACGCAGCAGCUUCUCAGCAAGUCGGCUUGGCGCUCCGACAUCUAGACUGCAGGCGUGAGCAAGUCGCUGGUCCCCGAUGAAGACGUUUCUCUCCCGGGCUGGGCUUCCGGCAGCUGCCGCAGAAGUACUGCGGCCGGUCGUGCGAGGCAGGCUGCGUUUUCCCAGCACCAUUCAGGUCGGACGCACAGCCACCCGGCCAGCUCCUCGGGUCCCCUUUCUUAUCAGUCCGAACAGUCCCGGCUUCCCGUUCCUGCGCCAGGAGAGAAGAACCCAGGAGGCUGAAGCUCUCUUAGACACAAGCUGCCUCUGCAGCUCAUUGGAAAGAGGGCUUCGGUGGGGCUUUCCCCUCCCUAUCCAACUCCACACGUAACAACCGACCUCCAGCCUCACACCCACAUCUGAGGCAUCUACAUAACUCCGAUACACUCACACUGACCCCUGUCCACCUCUCUCCAUCAACUCCAAAUCCUCUCUGCCGCACUACUCCCCCCAAACUCACCUGAUGCACAUACUAGUUCAGAUUCUGCACUUUUUGGUAGAAAUGUAUUAAAUCGGCUUUUGGACACCAAGCCCUUCCUUACAUUCUCAGCAAGCCCUCCCAUCUCAUGGCUUCCUAGUCGGUGCGAGGGGGAUUCCACUUCGUGAAAACCUGCCAGAUCGUGGGUUUGGAAACUUAAUGGUGUUUUCAGGACAUUUGCAGAAUAGGCCAGGGGCCCCUUUGUUUCUGGAUACCACAAAGAAGAUGCCCUCUCUAGGCCUGGCCUGAGCAUGUCUCUCCAGCGUUUGUCCAGGGAUGGUCACGUGUUCUAGAACGAGGCGAAGGCUUGAAGAUGAACGGAGCAGCUGAGCUGGUUUGUCUUCACUGUCACCGUGAUUGGAUUUGGAAUCACCUAGGAAACACACCUGCGAGCAAGUCUGUGCAGGAGUUUCCAUCCCAGGGACUGGAGCCCUGGAGUGAGUAAGAAGAAAAUGAGCGGAGGAGCAGCAGCGUUUAGCUCAUAGCUUCCUGACUGUGGAUACAAUGUGACCAUCUGCCUCAAGCUUUUACUGUCCUGCCCUCCCACCUCCAUGGCCUGUGAACCCAAAGCGUCUUUUGUCAGACACACAAAAAAAGUUCUUUUAAGAA